Acanthopagrus latus (yellowfin seabream) is the source of this 557-nucleotide long non-coding RNA. RefSeq lists it as uncharacterized. Lineage: Eukaryota; Metazoa; Chordata; Actinopteri; Spariformes; Sparidae. The transcript has 2 exons. The record is from RefSeq and is a predicted model, not a curated record.
GAAGAAGUAACACUGCAGUUCUCCAGCUGGGGGUCGGGAUCCUCAGCUCAUUUCUAUUACCACCUCAUAUCAGGAGGUGGAGGGGACAGAGGUGGACAUGGAGGCUGCCAGGCUGGUGACCGCAGCUCAAUCUGCAUUUCAGCAUUUGGAAGUGUGAAACUGCUGGAUACUUGUGAGGAUAUUUUUUUCGUGUGGUUGGCCACACACAAAAAAAACCCUCUCCUCAGUCAGCGCUAGUGUCACAGUCGACACAAAAAAGGACCCAAACACCAGACACAAAGGCAGACAGGUAGAUAAAAUCCAAAAGUGCCAACGCUCAAAAGACAGGCAACAAAAACUGCCAGCAAAAAAAGGAAAAGGAAAGUACAAAAACUGAGGACAAACCAGAAAACCACAGGAGAUGAGUCAGGAAUACAGGGAACAACACAAGGCUCAGGGAACCAGCGCAGGAGGCAACCGACAAACCAACAAGGGGCGAGGGAACAACACGGGUUAAAGAUGCUGUGUGUAGGAAUUUAAGUUUAAAACAUUCAAGUGUGCAAAUAAAUAAGAGAUUU